AGAGUUUGAUCAUGGCUCAGGACGAACGCUGGCGGCGUGCUUAACACAUGCAAGUCGAACGGAAAGGCCCUGCUUUUGUGGGGUGCUCGAGUGGCGAACGGGUGAGUAACACGUGAGUAACCUGCCCUUGACUUUGGGAUAACUUCAGGAAACUGGGGCUAAUACCGGAUAGGAGCUCCUGCUGCAUGGUGGGGGUUGGAAAGUUUCGGCGGUUGGGGAUGGACUCGCGGCUUAUCAGCUUGUUGGUGGGGUAGUGGCUUACCAAGGCUUUGACGGGUAGCCGGCCUGAGAGGGUGACCGGCCACAUUGGGACUGAGAUACGGCCCAGACUCCUACGGGAGGCAGCAGUGGGGAAUAUUGCACAAUGGGCGGAAGCCUGAUGCAGCAACGCCGCGUGCGGGAUGACGGCCUUCGGGUUGUAAACCGCUUUCGCCUGUGACGAAGCGUGAGUGACGGUAAUGGGUAAAGAAGCACCGGCUAACUACGUGCCAGCAGCCGCGGUGAUACGUAGGGUGCGAGCGUUGUCCGGAUUUAUUGGGCGUAAAGGGCUCGUAGGUGGUUGAUCGCGUCGGAAGUGUAAUCUUGGGGCUUAACCCUGAGCGUGCUUUCGAUACGGGUUGACUUGAGGAAGGUAGGGGAGAAUGGAAUUCCUGGUGGAGCGGUGGAAUGCGCAGAUAUCAGGAGGAACACCAGUGGCGAAGGCGGUUCUCUGGGCCUUUCCUGACGCUGAGGAGCGAAAGCGUGGGGAGCGAACAGGCUUAGAUACCCUGGUAGUCCACGCUGUAAACGGUGGGUACUAGGUGUGGGGUCCAUUCCACGGGUUCCGUGCCGUAGCUAACGCUUUAAGUACCCCGCCUGGGGAGUACGGCCGCAAGGCUAAAACUCAAAGGAAUUGACGGGGCCCCGCACAAGCGGCGGAGCAUGCGGAUUAAUUCGAUGCAACGCGUAGAACCUUACCUGGGUUUGACAUGGAUCGGGAGCGCUCAGAGAUGGGUGUGCCUCUUUUGGGGUCGGUUCACAGGUGGUGCAUGGCUGUCGUCAGCUCGUGUCGUGAGAUGUUGGGUUAAGUCCUGCAACGAGCGCAACCCUUGUUCACUGUUGCCAGCACGUUAUGGUGGGGACUCAGUGGAGACCGCCGGGGUCAACUCGGAGGAAGGUGGGGAUGACGUCAAGUCAUCAUGCCCCUUAUGUCCAGGGCUUCACGCAUGCUACAAUGGCUGGUACAGAGAGUGGCGAGCCUGUGAGGGUGAGCGAAUCUCGGAAAGCCGGUCUCAGUUCGGAUUGGGGUCUGCAACUCGAUCUCAUGAAGUCGGAGUCGCUAGUAAUCGCAGAUCAGCAACGCUGCGGUGAAUACGUUCCCGGGGCUUGUACACACCGCCCGU
This 1382-nucleotide ribosomal RNA is filed under the name uncultured bacterium. RNAcentral describes it as "bacterial SSU rRNA". It matches the Rfam family "Bacterial small subunit ribosomal RNA". The record is from RNAcentral.